RNAcentral lists this long non-coding RNA (1131 nucleotides) under Sinocyclocheilus anshuiensis. Its description in RNAcentral is "lncRNA (ENSSANG00000043098.1)". The record is from RNAcentral. Lineage: Eukaryota; Metazoa; Chordata; Actinopteri; Cypriniformes; Cyprinidae.
CUGCGCGCCAUCAAAGCGACUAUUUACAUAAUUCCUUCAAUACAACAGAUAGAUAAGGAAAAGAAAGAGAUUGGAUCAUUUAAAGUGGCCCUGAUGCUGUUGCCUAAGCAGAGUUGUUUAACGAGGUCAAUUAUGAUAAGAGAGAGGGCAGAAGAGGAGGAAGAGGAGGAGGAGGAGGAUGGUGAUGGGCGGGCUGGAGGCGUUGCUCAUGCCCUCCUCCUCCUGUAGGGCCCGCAGACAGUGUGAACUUGAACACUGACGGGCACAGCACUCAACGACAGUCGAGUCACACAUCACUGCCGUUGUAUGAGAUUUCUAGUGUCCGCUUAGUUCUGGUGUAGUUUUAGAAGAUCUUCUCUCACUAUGUCCAGACGUAAACUCGGCAGCAGACCGCAACACCUGAGCGCAAUGCAAGACGCUCCGGAUUCCACAGUCAUCCCCGCCGACUCUUCGCCGUCACCUGAGCAGAUCCCUCAGCCGGAUGAUGGAGGCCGUGACCUGUUGACAUGUGGCCAGUGUGGUCAAGCCUUCCCAUUGGCCCACAUCCUCACCUUCAUCCAGCACAAACAGGGCGGGUGCGGCACAGCCAGAGCCCGGCCUCAGGUCCACACUCCUCCCUCUCCGGCCAAUCGGACGCACCGAUUCGGCCAAGGAACGCAGGUGGAGGCGGGUUACGUGGAGCUCCGGCGUAUGACGGACAAGAGAUGGAAGGAAGAGCCAGGUGUGAGGGUGGAGGCCAACCGAGCCGUCCAGCUCAUUAGACUGCCGUUGCUGUGGCACUGAGGCCUUGGUGAGUUGGAGAGUUAGAGACGCCAAGCCUAAUUGUGUGGAAGAGAUAGGCAGUUCUGCUACACACACAAGCAAACGUACACUUAUGCAUGCACCCUGGGGGACGGCGGAAAGGCACCUGAGCACACCUGAGCAUCUCCUUAGCUCUGUCUCUCAGGUGAAGUGGCCAGGUAAACACAGCACAGUCAGGCCACCAAACUGCACAACUCCCAGAGCACACUUUCCUCAUUAUUCCAGCACUGUCAGUCAUAGCAGGUGCUGACAUGGUGUGUUAUUCCCAGAGUCCUUUGUGAAUUGCUUCGCUCCCGUCCUCUUACUGCGCUAUUCAAAAUAAAGUCUCAA